Molecule: ribosomal RNA, 462 nt
Filed under: uncultured Desulfobulbus sp.
Lineage: Bacteria; Pseudomonadati; Thermodesulfobacteriota; Desulfobulbia; Desulfobulbales; Desulfobulbaceae
Description: bacterial SSU rRNA
Rfam family: Bacterial small subunit ribosomal RNA
Source: RNAcentral
ACAAGCGGUGGAGUAUGUGGUUUAAUUCGAUGCAACGCGAAGAACCUUACCUGGUCUUGACAUCCCGGAGACCCUUAGGAAACUAGGGGUGCUUCCAUCUGGAAGAAUCUGGAGACAGGUGCUGCAUGGCUGUCGUCAGCUCGUGUCGUGAGAUGUUGGGUUAAGUCCCGCAACGAGCGCAACCCUUGCCUUUAGUUGCCAGCAGUUCGGCUGGGCACUCUAAAGGGACUGCCGGUGUUAAACCGGAGGAAGGUGGGGAUGACGUCAAGUCCUCAUGGCCUUUAUGGCCAGGGCUACACACGUACUACAAUGGCCGAUACAAAGGGCAGCGACACUGCGAGGUGAAGCCAAUCCCGUAAAAUCGGUCUCAGUCCGGAUUGGAGUCUGCAACUCGACUCCAUGAAGUUGGAAUCGCUAGUAAUCGUGGAUCAGCAUGCCACGGUGAAUACGUUCCCGGGCCUU